GACGAACGCUGGCGGCGUGCUUAACACAUGCAAGUCGAACGGAAAGGCCCUGCUUUUGUGGGGUGCUCGAGUGGCGAACGGGUGAGUAACACGUGAGUAACCUGCCCUUGACUUUGGGAUAACUUCAGGAAACUGGGGCUAAUACCGGAUAGGAGCUCCUGCUGCAUGGUGGGGGUUGGAAAGUUUCGGCGGUUGGGGAUGGACUCGCGGCUUAUCAGCUUGUUGGUGGGGUAGUGGCUUACCAAGGCUUUGACGGGUAGCCGGCCUGAGAGGGUGACCGGCCACAUUGGGACUGAGAUACGGCCCAGACUCCUACGGGAGGCAGCAGUGGGGAAUAUUGCACAAUGGGCGGAAGCCUGAUGCAGCAACGCCGCGUGCGGGAUGACGGCCUUCGGGUUGUAAACCGCUUUCGCCUGUGACGAAGCGUGAGUGACGGUAAUGGGUAAAGAAGCACCGGCUAACUACGUGCCAGCAGCCGCGGUGAUACGUAGGGUGCGAGCGUUGUCCGGAUUUAUUGGGCGUAAAGGGCUCGUAGGUGGUUGAUCGCGUCGGAAGUGUAAUCUUGGGGCUUAACCCUGAGCGUGCUUUCGAUACGGGUUGACUUGAGGAAGGUAGGGGAGAAUGGAAUUCCUGGUGGGGCGGUGGAAUGCGCAGAUAUCAGGAGGAACACCAGUGGCGAAGGCGGUCCUCUGGGCCUUUCCUGACGCUGAGGAGCGAAAGCGUGGGGAGCGAACAGGCUUAGAUACCCUGGUAGUCCACGCUGUAAACGGUGGGUACUAGGUGUGGGGUCCAUUCCACGGGUUCCGUGCCGUAGCUAACGCUUUAAGUACCCCGCCUGGGGAGUACGGCCGCAAGGCUAAAACUCAAAGGAAUUGACGGGGCCCCGCACAAGCGGCGGAGCAUGCGGAUUAAUUCGAUGCAACGCGUAGAACCUUACCUGGGUUUGACAUGGAUCGGGAGUGCUCAGAGAUGGGUGUGCCUCUUUUGGGGUCGGUUCACAGGUGGUGCAUGGCUGUCGUCAGCUCGUGUCGUGAGAUGUUGGGUUAAGUCCCGCAACGAGCGCAACCCUUGUUCACUGUUGCCAGCACGUUAUGGUGGGGACUCAGUGGAGACCGCCGGGGUCAACUCGGAGGAAGGUGGGGAUGACGUCAAGUCAUCAUGCCCCUUAUGUCCAGGGCUUCACGCAUGCUACAAUGGCUGGUACAGAGAGUGGCGAGCCUGUGAGGGUGAGCGAAUCUCGGAAAGCCGGUCUCAGUUCGGAUUGGGGUCUGCAACUCGACCUCAUGAAGUCGGAGUCGCUAGUAAUCGCAGAUCAGCAACGCUGCGGUGAAUACGUUCCCGGGGCU
RNAcentral lists this ribosomal RNA (1346 nucleotides) under uncultured bacterium. RNAcentral's name for it is "partial 16S ribosomal RNA". It matches the Rfam family "Bacterial small subunit ribosomal RNA", at positions 28 to 1381 of the family's 1533-position model. The record is from RNAcentral.